GACGAACGCUGGCGGCGUGCUUAACACAUGCAAGUCGAACGAAGAGCGAUGGAAGCUUGCUUCUAUCAAUCUUAGUGGCGAACGGGUGAGUAACGCGUAAUCAACCUGCCCUUCAGAGGGGGACAACAGUUGGAAACGACUGCUAAUACCGCAUACGAUCUAAUCUCGGCAUCGAGGAUAGAUGAAAGGUGGCCGCUACAUGUAAGCUAUCACUGAAGGAGGGGAGUGCGUCCGAUGAGCUAGGUGGAGGGGUAACGGCCCACCAAGGCGAAGAUCAGUAGGCGGUCUGAGAAGGAGGACGGCCAACUUGGGACUGGGGCCCGGCCCAGGCUUCUACGGGGGGCAGCCGUUGGGGAUCUUCCGCAAUGGGCGAAAGUCUGACGGAGCCACGCCGCGUGAGGGAUGACGGCCUUCGGGUUGUAAAGCUCUGUUAAUCGGGACGAAAGGCCUUCUUGCGAAUAGUGAGAAGGAUUGACGGUACCGGAAGAGAAAGCAACGGCUAACUACGUG
Molecule: ribosomal RNA, 510 nt
Filed under: uncultured bacterium
Lineage: Bacteria
Description: partial 16S ribosomal RNA
Rfam family: Bacterial small subunit ribosomal RNA
Source: RNAcentral